AUUUGCACUGUUUUACAGGUGGAGAAUUAGGAAUAUAGAGACAAUAAGAAAAAAGCGUUAGCCUGACAAAGUCAGAGUGCUAGAAGAGAGCUUUCAAUAGCUACAGAUAACAUUUCCUCUCAUUCUUACCACUCAGUGUUUUUCUUUAGUCAUUACCUUAAUUAUAACUCUUACUUUAUAAGAAAAAAAACUAAAAAGAAAAAAACACUUUUAUUUUAAAAUUUACAUUUUUCUUCAUGCACUAUAUAAUAAACACGGGAGUCAAAUAUUCUUUUUUUUUUCUGUCUGACAGACUGAAGAUUGUCAUCCAGUUUUUACAUUCUUGAUUCUGGGGUGUGUAUUUCAGCUUUGAGUGUUUCAAGCAACAGAUUUGUUGAUAAUUUAUGAUUCUUUAUAAUUUCUAGGUGCAUACAUAAAAUCAGUCAUGUUUUAGUAUGCAUUUCAAAGACAUAAAGCUUUAUUUUUUUCUUAAGAAAUACGGAGUGUAAUAUGUUUACUAUAAUUAGCUGAUUUUCUUUCAAGAAAGUUUGUGGGGCUUUUUUUUUUUUUAUAGUAUUUGUGUGGAAGUAAUCGAAAAGACAACAUAUUUAUUGAUCCUGGAUACCAAACAUUUGAGCAAGAAUUGAAUAAAAUACUGCGAAGCUGGCAACCAAGCAUACUUCCAGAUGGUAAUGCUAUUUUCACUAAAGGUGUUGCUCUCUUGAUAUUAGGAUUGUUAUUUUUACAGAGUAUGUUUGAAAAUAUUAUAAUUAAGUCACUUAAAUUAGAUAACAUUUUCUGAACACUUACUCGAGCUCAUCUGCCUUUCAUCUCUUGUUGAAUUAGAAACAAAUGUGGUCAAUAACUAGUGUUUAUGAAGAACUUUGUAAGAAAUGUAAUCUACUUUCUCUGGAGUACGAGACUGGAUGUUCAUGUCUUAAGCCUUCCAGUGGAGCUUCUGAUGUAAAUUUCUCUUAAACCACUGUUUUCAGUCCGUGAAGAAAAUGUGUAUGUAUGUGGAGUCAUCAAUUUUUUUCAGGAAUUUAAAUUCCUGAAUUUUAAUUUUAAAAGGAUUUACACUGUUUUCUGACCACUGUUUGCUUGUCCUACUGAAGAACAGAAGCAAACAUCCAGUCCCUUAUUCCAUAGAUAAUAGUUCCAUAGUAGCCUCUGUAUUGUUAAAGAGCUGCAUAGGUAAUUCUAGAAUUAUUCUAGUUGAUCUAAUAUGAAAGGAGAAUUGGUAUAGAUUUGUCCUUAAAUUAACUGUGUCUGCUUCUAGAUGGUUAAAUGAAAACUUUUAUUUAUUAUAAUUCUUUUAAAAUAGUUCUCUCUAUUUAAGGGUCAAUAUUCUCUCGAGUUGAAGAAGACUAUCUCUGGAGGAUAAAACAACUAGGAUCACACUCUCCAGUAGCUCUUCUGAAUACACUGUUCUACUUUAACACUAAGUAUUUUGGCCUGAAAACAGUGGAACAACACUUAAGACUUUCCUUUGGCACUGUGUUUAGGCAUUGGAAAAAAAAUCCUUUAACGAUGGAAAACAAAGCGUGUCUUCGAUACCAAGUGUCUUCCUUGUGUGGAACAGAUAAUGAAGAUAAAAUUACUACUG
Molecule: long non-coding RNA, 1585 nt
Filed under: Homo sapiens (human)
Lineage: Eukaryota; Metazoa; Chordata; Mammalia; Primates; Hominidae
Description: HSALNT0198099
Source: RNAcentral